CCUACGGGUGGCAGCAGUAGGGAAUCUUUCACAAUGGGCGAAAGCCUGAUGGAGCAAUGCCGCGUGAAUGAUGAAGGUCUUAUCGAUUGUACAAUUCUUUUCUUUGGGAAGAAAAACUCAAGUAGAAAAUGACUUUAGUCUGACUGUACCAUUUGAAUAAGUAUCGGCUAACUCUGUGCCAGCAGCCGCGGUAAUAAAUAGGAUGCAAGCGUUAUCCGGAUUUACUGGGCGUAAAACGAGCGCAGGCGGGUUAACAAGUUUGGUAUGAAAGGCUUUUGCUUAACGAAAGUGUGUAUCAAAAACUGUUAAUCUAGAGGGUAGUAGAGAGUUCUGGAAUGCCAUGUGGAGCGGUGGAAUGCGUAGAUAUAUGGAAGAACACCAGUGGCGAAGGCGAGAACUUAGGCUAUCACUGACGCUGAGGCUCGAAAGUGUGGGGAGCAAAUAGGAUUAGAUACCCGGGUAGUC
RNAcentral lists this ribosomal RNA (465 nucleotides) under uncultured bacterium. RNAcentral's name for it is "partial 16S ribosomal RNA". It matches the Rfam family "Bacterial small subunit ribosomal RNA", at positions 338 to 795 of the family's 1533-position model. The record is from RNAcentral.